This is a non-coding RNA of Cinara cedri, 291 nucleotides long. The record is from the annotation of a GenBank genome assembly. NCBI's taxonomy places the organism in Eukaryota, Metazoa, Arthropoda, Insecta, Hemiptera, Aphididae.
GACGACUAUAAAUACUAUAUUGGUACUAUAGCAGAGCGAUCCCUUUUAGUGGAAAAUAGGAAACAACACGUGCCGUUUAUGACUAUCGUUUCGGAAAAAAAUGAAUGGGGCGAAAUCGAAUGAAAUUAAGAGCAGAGGAAUUUGUCUUUCGGCAGAUAUUCGACAGUUAAUCUAGCAAAGGUCGUAUCCAAGGGAGGAAUCCAAGGGAUUUGGACACCCUUCGAAAUUUCUCCAAUGUUAACAUCAGUAUAAAUAUUUUCAAAAUAAUAAAUGGGCCACUUUUAAAUUUCA